UACGUAGGGACCAAGCGUUGUUCGGAUUUACUGGGCGUAAAGGGCGCGUAGGCGGCAAUUCAAGUCAUCUGUGAAAUCUCCGGGCUUAACCCGGAACGGUCAGGUGAUACUGUUUUGCUAGAGUGCGGAAGGGGCAAUCGGAAUUCUCGGUGUAGCGGUGAAAUGCGUAGAUAUCGAGAGGAACACCAGAGGUGAAGACGGCUCUCUGGACCGCCACUGACGCUGAGACACGAAAGCGUGGGUAGCAAACAGG
This 253-nucleotide ribosomal RNA is filed under the name uncultured bacterium. Its description in RNAcentral is "partial 16S ribosomal RNA". It matches the Rfam family "Bacterial small subunit ribosomal RNA", at positions 524 to 776 of the family's 1533-position model. The record is from RNAcentral.